Molecule: unclassified non-coding RNA, 406 nt
Filed under: soil metagenome
Description: partial contains 5.8S ribosomal RNA, internal transcribed spacer 2, and large subunit ribosomal RNA
Rfam family: 5.8S ribosomal RNA (bases 1-121)
Source: RNAcentral
GAUGAAGAACGUAGUGAAAUGCGAUACGUAAUGUGAAUUGCAGACGUCAGUGAAUCAUCGAAUCUUUGAACGCACCUUGCGCCCUUUGGCCAUUCCGAAGGGCAUGCCUGUUUGAGUAUCAUGAACACCUCAACUCUUCAUGGUUUUCCAUGAUGAGCUUGGACUUUGGGGGUCUUGCUGGCCUGUGGGUCGGCUCCUCUCAAAUGAAUCAGCUUGCCGGUUUUUGGUGGGCAUCACAGGUGUGAUAACUAUCUACGCUUGUGGUUUUCCACCAGGGUAACCUUCAGCAGUGGAGGUUCACUGGAGCUUACAAAUGUCUCUCCUCUGUGAGGACAGCCCUUUGAAUGUUUGAUCUCAAAUCAGGUAGGACUACCCGCUGAACUUAAGCAUAUCAAUAAGCGGAGGA